AAAACCUUUUGCUGGUGUGCACUAAAUACUAAUGAAUCCCGUUUUCUUCCUUUGUGCAGGUCGCUGUAUAACCGAAGGUGCUUUGACUGGCAGCAACGCCGGAUCACCAGUAUAGAGUUUGACAGUGCUGGCUCUACUUGCUGGCUGCGUCCAAUGACUUUGCCAGUAGGCUCUGGACUGUGGAUGACUACAGACUGAGGUGCUCAGGGCUUCAAUUGUGGCACUGACUGGACCAUAGUCACCUUCAGUCCCGAUGGCAGUUAUGUGGCGGGGGGCUCUGCAGACGGAGCUCUAUGUGUGGAACUUCCUGACGGUCAGAAUUUGAGGCUCGGCCAUCAACUCUGUGUCCUGGUCACCGUCGGGAGCCUACGUGGUCAGUGUGGAGAAAGGCAGCAAGGCCGUGCUCUGGUCCGACAUGUGAUUGGCUCUGCUCUAGCCCUCUGCCAUUGGGUGACUGGCUGGCUGUCUGUCUGGACUGUUCAAUGGAGGCACAGACUGGACAAGGGGUUCCCUAGCCCCACCCUCUAAUGUCCGAUCCCCCCCAUUACUUUCCCUCACUGGCAUUGGACCAUUUUGUGCUCAAAUGCGUGGGGGGUGGCUUGCCUAUAGGAAGGAGGUCAUCUGGUGGCCCAUGGGUGGACAGCAGAGAAUUAGUUGGUGUCCAGUUGGAAGUGUCAGUGGAAGAGCCAUGAAGGCAGUUCUCUUUAAGUAAAACGCUAUCAUAUAUCCAUUUGAAAUGAUUGAAAUAUUGAAAUAUCCAACCAAGGCGAGUGAGUCACCGUUGAAUUUAUAAAACAGUUGCCAAAUUGCCACUAUAACCAGAGCUGAAUAAUCUGUUUUUACAGCUGCAAUUGGACAUGUCGUUAGUUUUACAUGACCUUGGGGUGGGCAUAGGCUUUUAAUGUUGAAGUCUGUCAGCUUUUGAAAAACUGGGCCCAGGAGAAGCAAUCUGAUCGGAUUCCCGCCAUCGGAUAGAAUUAAAUGCACAGAAAUAGAAUGGGUGUAUCAUUGACUUGAAUGGGGAUGCCCGUUUGAUUCACACUAUUUCUAUACAUUUAAUCCUAUCCAAUUGCCGAGCAUUGAGGUUGUCAGGGGUCAUUUAAUACUGUAGUUCAGUGCUCUUCAACCCUUGUCCUGGCUACCCACAGGGCCUGUUAGGUGGUCCUUAUAGCUAUGCACCAACACAUCACAUCAAGUACUUGAACUGGGCUGGAGAAAAAGCAUGGGUCCAUGGGAUUGAAAAACACUGCUGUAAGGAGUGUGAAGACAUGUUGUUGUGGACAAGACUACACACAAUUCUCCAUAAACUCAUGUGCCAAUCACAAUGAACAUGCCCUCGUGCACACACACAGGAUCAACGGGUUGAGGCUAGUGCCCCGUUUAUUGUAGUCUGGCAAAAAAGCACACGAUUAUCAAUCUACAUUCCUCCGUCUAAAUCAUAA
Non-coding RNA from Salvelinus sp. IW2-2015, 1442 nucleotides. NCBI's taxonomy places the organism in Eukaryota, Metazoa, Chordata, Actinopteri, Salmoniformes, Salmonidae. The record is from RefSeq and is a predicted model, not a curated record.